GUCGUAAUUCAUACAAAAGGAGUGAUGCUUAAUUCAUUUCGCUAAUUGACUAAUGACGUUAUUGCAUGAUGCUUAAUUCAUUUCGCUAAUUGAGUAAUGAUGUUAUUCCACCUCCAAGGGAAGGCUCAGGUUAGGUUUAUGUUGGGUUGUGGCAUAUUUUUAUAGAAAAAUUAUCAAUUUAAGUUCAACUUGUUUAAUGGAG
RNAcentral lists this long non-coding RNA (202 nucleotides) under Elaeis guineensis (African oil palm). RNAcentral describes it as "long non-coding RNA (EGUI_LNC003525)". Lineage: Eukaryota; Viridiplantae; Streptophyta; Magnoliopsida; Arecales; Arecaceae. The record is from RNAcentral.